RNAcentral lists this ribosomal RNA (441 nucleotides) under uncultured bacterium. Its description in RNAcentral is "bacterial SSU rRNA". It matches the Rfam family "Bacterial small subunit ribosomal RNA", at positions 335 to 791 of the family's 1533-position model. The record is from RNAcentral.
ACUCCUACGGGAGGCAGCAGUGGGGAAUAUUGCACAAUGGGCGCAAGCCUGAUGCAGCAACGCCGUGUGAGUGAAGAAGGUUUUCGGAUCGUAAAACUCUGUCCUAAGGGAAGAAACAAAUGACGGUACCUUAGGAGGAAGCCCCGGCUAACUACGUGCCAGCAGCCGCGGUAAUACGUAGGGGGCAAGCGUUAUCCGGAAUCACUGGGCGUAAAGGGUGCGUAGGCGGCUUAGCAAGCCAGGGGUGAAAGGCAUUGGCUCAACCAAUGUAAGCCUUUGGAACUGUUAAGCUUGAGUGCAGGAGAGGUAAGUGGAAUUCCUAGUGUAGAGGUGAAAUUCGUAGAUAUUAGGAGGAACACCAGUGGCGAAGGCGACUUACUGGACUGUAACUGACGCUGAUGCACGAAAGCGUGGGUAGCGAACAGGAUUAGAUACCCUUGU